GUGAAUCAUCGAAUCUUUGAACGCACAUUGCGCCCGCUGGUACUCCGGCGGGCACGCCUGUCCGAGCGUCAUUUCAACCCUCAAGCCCUCCCUUCGGGGACCGGGCCUGGUGUUGGGGACCGGCCGCCUCCUCCGGCGGCCGACCCCGAAAUACAGUGGCGGUCACGCCGCGUAUCCCUUGCGUAGUAGAAACACCUCGCACCGGAGAGCGACGCGGUCCACGCCGUAAAACCCCCAAUUUUUAAUGGUUGACCUCGGAUCAGGUGGGAAUACCCGCUGAACUUAAGCAUAUCAAUAAGC
Molecule: unclassified non-coding RNA, 300 nt
Filed under: uncultured Hypocreales
Lineage: Eukaryota; Fungi; Ascomycota; Sordariomycetes; Hypocreales
Description: sequence contains 5.8S rRNA gene, ITS2
Rfam family: 5.8S ribosomal RNA (bases 1-71)
Source: RNAcentral